CCUACGGGUGGCAGCAGUGAGGAAUAUUGGUCAAUGGACGAGAGUCUGAACCAGCCAAGUAGCGUGAAGGAUGACUGCCCUAUGGGUUGUAAACUUCGUUUAUAUGGGAAUAAAACGUUCCACGUGUGGGAUUUUGUAUGUACCAUAUGAAUAAGGAUCGGCUAACUCCGUGCCAGCAGCCGCGGUAAUACGGAGGAUCCGAGCGUUAUCCGGAUUUAUUGGGUGUAAAGGGAGCGUAGGUGGAUUGUUAAGUCAGUUGUGAAAGUUUGCGGCUCAACCGGAAAAUUGCAGUUGAAACUGGCAGUCUUGAGUACAGUAGAGGUGGGCGGAAUUCGUGGUGUAGCGGUGAAAUGCUUAGAUAUCACGAAGAACUCCGAUUGCGAAGGCAGUUCACUGGACUGCAACUGACACUGAGGCUCGAAAGUGUGGGUAUCAAACAGGAUUAGAUACCCGUGUAGUC
This 460-nucleotide ribosomal RNA is filed under the name uncultured bacterium. Its description in RNAcentral is "partial 16S ribosomal RNA". It matches the Rfam family "Bacterial small subunit ribosomal RNA", at positions 338 to 795 of the family's 1533-position model. The record is from RNAcentral.